UUAUUCAUAUUAAAUCAAUAAACAAAGGCCACGCCAAGAAAUAGCACAAACCAUGUGUGAAUAAAACCUUACCGGUUCAUGUUGUCUCGUGGUUUCUGGUUAAUUGAUGUUUUAAAGAUUAAGGAUUCACUGAAAUUGAAAACCAGAAUUACAUCAGAAAUAAUUCAAAGUAGGAAGCAAAAUGACCUUUCUUGCUUUUUAAUGAAUUUAAUUUGCUUUAAAUAUCGAAAUUGUUUAGCUUAUUUUCCCUGUUUCGUCUGGUUCAAAUAAGAUGUACCCUGAAAAGGUGUCAGUUUUACCGAUUGACGUGGACAAUUGUUGGACAAUUUGACGUCAAAUUCAUUGUAAACAUGAUGAGGAUAAGCCAUAGAUGGCGGCUGAUUCAACCGGUGAUUCAAAAAUGGUGAGAUUCGGUUAAAGGUCCCGCCCUGUGAUGUUGAUUCAUAAAUAGUGAGACAUGUGACGUAAAAUCACGCCAUAUGACGUAAUAGAAAUGGUCCGAUCUCGAUGAAUUGAUUGAAUAAUCGUUCACUUUCCAAUUGAUCGAUUAUCGAAGUAAAUUCAUCAAAACAAUUUUCUAUUUUUUGGCAAACACUCAAUUACUUUUAGAUAUUAUUAAUUGAUUGUUGAUGUCUGAAGUCAAUUUAAUUUACAUUUUCAUCUUUCAUUUGAAAUUAUCUUUAAAUGAUUUUAAAAUGUCUAUAGCCAACGCCAUCUAAUGAGUGUUUAUUGCUCCUAUUAGGUUGGGUCAGGUUAAGGAUCAAAUUAUAAGCUUGAUUUUGGUUUACUUUUGAUGAAAUUAUUUUGUUAUUUUAUUAUUUUGUUUAUUGUAAGCUUUUAAUCAUUCAUUAUUAUUAUAUUUGUUGUUGCUGAAUAUCAUUAUAGAAGCCAUCAUUCGGUGUUUUUUCAAAGAUGAUAAAUUGAUUUUAAUGCGAAAUGUGAUUUCUCAGAGGAUUUUUACCAGCCUUGUGAUCUUAGCUGGUGAUUUGUCUGAAAACAUGAAAAUUGUUUGAAUAAUUGAAGAGAUUUUGACUGACGUUUAAUGAUUGAAUAACAACAAAAAUGGAAACGUUUUUUUCUUACUUUCAAUUGUACUUUGAAAAAUACUUUGAAAAAUGCUUUCAAAACUAAACAACAAUUAGACAACCUUGAAUGAUUUAAUGAAGGGUAGGCUUGAACGUCAUUUGAACAUCAAUAUGGUUAAAACAACAUUAAGUUAUUAACAUGAAAACGCUUAAAGUGUAGACAACUUAUAUUAAAAACAUUAUUUUUGCUUGGGAUUUUUAUCUCAUUUAAAACAGUUUUAAUCAAGUUAUCAAUGACAAAUCUUGUUUGCUAUUACAAUCAACGAGUUAGGAAGUUUCUUCAUUCUUUCAUUACAACGAAGAUGUCAUUUACUUUUCACUUUUCCUCAUUUUAUUAUUGACUAUCAUUUGCAUUGAAAUAACAUCUUUAUAAAUACGAUUAUUAUGGCAAUUAAUUUAAUUGAAUAACAUUUUAGAGUUUCGAGUUUACUCUUGUUUACCAGAUAAUAGAUGGCACUGAUUGCAUCUCAUACAAUAACGCCAUCUUGUUGGGUCCUGAAUAAGUACACAAUAAAUCAAAUAAAUAGUCAACAGUAAAUGUCAAUUAAAAGCUAUUUUUGUAACAUUUAGGUCGAUAAUCUGAUCUGUGUUGAUUCCUGUCACUUGCAUGCAAAUUAUUUGGUUUAUCAUUCUCCACUCUUCAAGUUAUCAAUGAAACAGAUUGGGAAAUGAUCAAGUGAUAUAAAUUAAACUCAUUUCUUCCAAAAUUAAGUUCAUUCACUUUUAUUCAGCUUUAUUGAAAUUGAUUUAUCUUUUCUUGUGUUGUUUUUAUAUUGUUUAGAGUCUAAAUGUUAUCUUUUCAUCAAGCAAUUUAAAUGAAUCUACAAAUUGAAUGAAAAACCUCGACUUGUGCAUAACACGUUGCCUUCAUGUCUUCAUCCAUAUCUAGUGAAACAUGGCAUUUACGAAACCAGUUUGGAUUUCAGCUGAACCCAUGAAGACUUUUUCAUCGGAUAUGAUUCUUGCGACUGAUUCGUUUUUAAUUUACAUAUCUACAGUCGGGAAAUCAGGUUAAUAUAAUCGCAUUUUUGGGUUGAAAUAAAGACAGCAAUCGGACGUAA
Long non-coding RNA from Tetranychus urticae (two-spotted spider mite), 2146 nucleotides. RefSeq lists it as uncharacterized. The record is from RefSeq and is a predicted model, not a curated record. NCBI's taxonomy places the organism in Eukaryota, Metazoa, Arthropoda, Arachnida, Trombidiformes, Tetranychidae.